RNAcentral lists this ribosomal RNA (197 nucleotides) under uncultured bacterium. Its description in RNAcentral is "partial 16S ribosomal RNA". It matches the Rfam family "Bacterial small subunit ribosomal RNA", at positions 1305 to 1500 of the family's 1533-position model. The record is from RNAcentral.
CUGAAAUUCGCCUUCAUGAAGCUGGAAUUGCUAGUAAUGGCAGGUCAGCAUACUGCCGUGAAUACGUUCCCCGGGGCCUUGUACACACCGCCCGUCACACCAUGAGAGUUGGGAAUACCCGAAGCCUGUGAGCUAACUUAUAGAGGCAGCAGUCGAAGGUAGAAUCAAUGAUUGGGGUGAAGUCGUAACAAGGUACC